Molecule: long non-coding RNA, 2481 nt
Filed under: Sus scrofa (pig)
Lineage: Eukaryota; Metazoa; Chordata; Mammalia; Artiodactyla; Suidae
Description: lncRNA (ENSSSCG00050057489.1)
Source: RNAcentral
UCCAUAUGCUGCAGGUUUGGCCAUAAAAAAAGGUAGCUAAUGGCAUGUAAGUGGAUGUUCUGUGUUGAGCUUUUGGAAGAUUCUUUGCAGGAAACUUCCCCAGCAGAGGAGGAGCCACUGGACCCUCCACUUUCCUCACCCUUCCUGUCUGGAACAUACCAGGAUCAGAAUUUUUGGUCGGGAAGUAACAUCUGAAUCUGUACCUGCUGACGUCGGAACGAUGUUCUCCGUGCCCCCGAGCUGGUAAUGAGCCCUUUUGCCCUCCAAUUUUAGUAUGGCCCCAGAUAGUCAGACACAAUAAAAGCCAAAACAGGAGUUCCCAUUGUGGCUCAGGACCGAACCCGCAACCUCAUGGUUCCUAGUCGGAUUCGUUAACCACUGCACCACGACGGGAACUCCAUAAAGAUAUGCACUAGGAUCUUCUUUAUUUUUUAUUUUUAUUUUUUUGUCUUUUUGUUAUUUCUUGGGCCGCUCCCGUGGCAUGUGGAGAUUCCCAGGCUAGGGGUCUAAUCGGAGCUGUAGCCACUGGCCUACACCAGAGCCACAGCAGCUCGGGAUCCGAGCCACGUCUGCAACCUACUCACGGCAACACCGGAUCCUUAACCCACUGAGCAAGGCCAGGAACCGAACCCGCAACCUCAUGGUUCCUAGUCGGAUUCGUUAACCACUGCGCCACGACGGGGAACUCCCCCUGACUGUUUAUCAGCGGAUUAGAAAGUCAUUUUGAUUAGAUCUGUGUCCAGGGUUUACAAUCUCUACCCAGCCCCGGGGUGUAUCUGUGCUUCUCCUUCCUGCAUAACUGUAUUUUCCCUGGAGUUAGGGAUCAUCUUGUUUUGUAUCUGUUUAAAACUUUUUUUCCUUUUUUUUUCUUUUUUCACAGUCACACCCACAGCAUAUGGAAGUUCCCAGGCUAGGAACUAGAGCUACAGCUGCCAGCCUACACCAAAGCUCAUGGCACCAUCAGAUCGUUAACCCACGAAGCGAGGCCAGGGAUCGAACCCGUGUCCUCAUGGAUACUGGUCGGGUUCAUUACUGCUGAGCCACAGCGGGAACUCCAGCAGCCUUUCACUUUCUUGGAGACUUUGUCCCUAACUGGCCUUUUCGCCCACUCUCUCUCUUUCCUGCCCACGGACUAAAGCCCGCAGGUAGCUGUUCACGUACCACCUGCCCCUCUCAGCCUCUCAGGAGCAUCUGGUGCCAUGGAUUCCCCAGCUGCUCAGUGGUUUGGGUUCAAUGAGUUUCUUAUAUACUUUCCCACCUCCAGCCUAGGAUUCACCUUCUGGGAUCUACUAAGAAAUUACCACAUGGCCAGUACCUCAGUUUAUCUUCUCUCUCCUUUUCUUGGUCCCUCAGGGUUUACACCUUUAAAAAAAAAAAUUGGAGUUCCCGUUGUGGCGCAGUGGAAACGAAUCUGACUAGGAACCAUGAUGUUGCAGGUUCAAUCCCUGGCCUCACUCAGUGGGUUAAGGAUCCGGCAUUGCCGUGAGGUGUGUAGCUUGCAGACACGGCUUGGAUCUGGCAUUCCUAUGGCUGGCGGCUACUACUCCGAUUCGAACCCUAGCCUGGGAACCUCCAUAUGCUGCGGGUGCGGCCCUAAAAAGACAGAAACAAAACAAAAAAUCUUUUGAAACAUAGUGGUUAAGGGCCAGAAGUCUGGGACCCUUUUUUGGCUCUGCAUUUCCUGACUACGUGAUCUGAAGACAGUUGCCUUUCUCUUUAUGUCAAUCAAACAGGGCAAAGCUAAUCCCUACCUCACAGAUUAGAUUAGAUGAGAUUGGCAGGAACUAAAGUGUGGAUGUUGAUUAAUUUCCUUGAGCCCUGUGACACACCACAGGACAUAGCUGUUUGCACGGGAGUGGCUGCUCUUAGUGGCUUUUAGGAAGGGAGUGACUUCACAGGACAUUACACUCUGUCACUACUUACCCCAUUACUCCCCUCCUAGCAGCGUAAAAUUACUAUUUUAGUUUGUUCAAGGAUCCUGUGGAUUAGGAAUUCAGAUAGGGCAUAGUGAGGGUGGCUUGUUUCUGCUGCUCAUUGUCUGGAGCCUUAGCCUAGAAGACUCAGUGGGGGGGUGGGGGGUCAGGACGGGGGUGAAAGCCUGGGACUGGAUCACCUGCAAGGAGUUGCUAGAGUGGUUCAGUGGGUUAAAAACCUGACUAGUAUCCACGAGGAUGCGGGUUCGAUCCCUGGCCUCACUCAGUAGAUUAAGAUCUGGCGUUGCCCCAAGCUGCAGUGUAGCUCACAGAUGCAGCUCUAAUCCUGUGCUGCUGUGGGUGUGGUGUAGGCCAGCAGCUGCAGCUCCAUUUUGACACUCAGCCUGGGAACUUCCAUAUGCUGUGUGUUUGGCCCUAAAAAGAAAAAAACUCCCUCUGCCAGUCGGAGUUCUCUCCUGGCACUGUGGGUUAAGGGUCUGGCAUUGUCACUGCAGCGGCUCAGGUUAUUACUUUGGCUCAGGUUCGAUCCCUGGCCCAGGAACCUCCA